RNAcentral lists this small nuclear RNA (104 nucleotides) under Balaenoptera musculus (blue whale). The record is from RNAcentral. Lineage: Eukaryota; Metazoa; Chordata; Mammalia; Artiodactyla; Balaenopteridae.
GUGCUCGCUUCGGCAGCACAUAUACUAAAAUUGGAACGAUACAGAGAUUAGCAUGGCCCCUGUGCAAGGCUGACACGCAAAUUUGUGAAGCGUUCCACAUUUCU